This 395-nucleotide long non-coding RNA is filed under the name Eutrema salsugineum. RNAcentral's name for it is "long non-coding RNA (ESAL_LNC002135)". Lineage: Eukaryota; Viridiplantae; Streptophyta; Magnoliopsida; Brassicales; Brassicaceae. The record is from RNAcentral.
AUAGGUCCCGGAGAAGGAGCAGAUUCCAUUGCGGAUGGCGGCAUCGGCGGAGAAGCCAUAUCGGGAACUGAUAAUGGGCUUGGGCUUGGGCCCAUAGGAGUAGUUGGUUGGGCCAUUGGGCUUGAAGAUGGAGUCAUUGGCAUCAUAGGUGGUGGAGUCAUGGGCAUUGGUGGUGGAGCCAUGGGCAUAGGUGGUGGAGUCAUAGGCAUAGGUGGUGGAGCCAUAGGCAUAGGUGGUGGAGUCAUCAUUGGCAUCGGAGAGCUGCGGCCGCUAGACAUCGGCGGCAUCGACAUUGAGCCAGAAGGAGCCAUCAUGGGAGAUUGAGCUAAAGAGAAAUGAAUUAAAACCAUAGGCAAUGUGACCAAAAGGAGGGCUUGUGAAGAGGCCAUGGUUAU